This 305-nucleotide ribosomal RNA is filed under the name uncultured bacterium. RNAcentral describes it as "bacterial SSU rRNA". It matches the Rfam family "Bacterial small subunit ribosomal RNA", at positions 337 to 640 of the family's 1533-position model. The record is from RNAcentral.
GCCUCCUUUUCGCAGCCUUGAGGAAUAUUGGCCAAUGGGCGAGAUCCUGAACCCUCCCCUUCUCUUUCUUUCUUCCUUCCCUAUUUGUUGUAAACCUCUUUUGUAUGGGGGGAAUAAGCUUUACGAGUAGAGUGAUGACAGUACCAUACGAAUAAGCAUCGGCUAACUCCGUGCCAGCAGCCGCGGUAAUACGGAGGAUGCGAGCGUUAUCCGGAUUUAUUGGGUUUAAAGGGUGCGUAGGCGGCAUUAUAAGUUAGUGGUAAAAUAUUGGGGCUUCACCUCACUACGCCAUUAAUACUGUAGAG